UAGAGUUUGAUCCUGGCUCAGGAUGAACGCUAGCUACAGGCUUAACACAUGCAAGUCGAGGGGCAUCAGGAAGAAAGCUUGCUUUCUUUGCUGGCGACCGGCGCACGGGUGAGUAACACGUAUCCAACCUGCCCUUUACUCGGGGAUAGCCUUUCGAAAGAAAGAUUAAUACCCGAUGGCAUAAUGAUUCCGCAUGGUUUCAUUAUUAAAGGAUUCCGGUAAAGGAUGGGGAUGCGUUCCAUUAGGUUGUUGGUGAGGUAACGGCUCACCAAGCCUUCGAUGGAUAGGGGUUCUGAGAGGAAGGUCCCCCACAUUGGAACUGAGACACGGUCCAAACUCCUACGGGAGGCAGCAGUGAGGAAUAUUGGUCAAUGGGCGCUAGCCUGAACCAGCCAAGUAGCGUGAAGGAUGAAGGCUCUAUGGGUCGUAAACUUCUUUUAUAUAAGAAUAAAGUGCAGUAUGUAUACUGUUUUGUAUGUAUUAUAUGAAUAAGGAUCGGCUAACUCCGUGCCAGCAGCCGCGGUAAUACGGAGGAUCCGAGCGUUAUCCGGAUUUAUUGGGUUUAAAGGGAGCGUAGGUGGACUGGUAAGUCAGUUGUGAAAGUUUGCGGCUCAACCGUAAAAUUGCAGUUGAUACUGUCAGUCUUGAGUACAGUAGAGGUGGGCGGAAUUUCGUGGUGUAGCGGUGAAAUGCUUAGAUAUCACGAAGAACUCCGAUUGCGAAGGCAGCUCACUGGACUGCAACUGACACUGAUGCUCGAAAGUGUGGGUAUCAAACAGGAUUAGAUACCCUGGUAGUCCACACAGUAAACGAUGAAUACUCGCUGUUUGCGAUAUACAGUAAGCGGCCAAGCGAAAGCAUUAAGUAUUCCACCUGGGGAGUACGCCGGCAACGGUGAAACUCAAAGGAAUUGACGGGGGCCCGCACAAGCGGAGGAACAUGUGGUUUAAUUCGAUGAUACGCGAGGAACCUUACCCGGGCUUAAAUUGCAGUGGAAUGAUGUGGAAACAUGUCAGUGAGCAAUCACCGCUGUGAAGGUGCUGCAUGGUUGUCGUCAGCUCGUGCCGUGAGGUGUCGGCUUAAGUGCCAUAACGAGCGCAACCCUUAUCUUCAGUUACUAACAGGUCAUGCUGAGGACUCUGGAGAGACUGCCGUCGUAAGAUGUGAGGAAGGUGGGGAUGACGUCAAAUCAGCACGGCCCUUACGUCCGGGGCUACACACGUGUUACAAUGGGGGGUACAGAAGGCAGCUAGCGGGUGACCGUAUGCUAAUCCCAAAAGCCUCUCUCAGUUCGGAUCGAAGUCUGCAACCCGACUUCGUGAAGCUGGAUUCGCUAGUAAUCGCGCAUCAGCCACGGCGCGGUGAAUACGUUCCCGGGCCUUGUACACACCGCCCGUCAAGCCAUGGGAGCCGGGGGUACCUGAAGUACGUAACCGCAAGGAUCGUCCUAGGGUAAAACUGGUGACUGGGGCUAAGUCGUAACAAGGUA
This 1489-nucleotide ribosomal RNA is filed under the name uncultured Bacteroides sp. RNAcentral describes it as "bacterial SSU rRNA". It matches the Rfam family "Bacterial small subunit ribosomal RNA". The record is from RNAcentral. Lineage: Bacteria; Pseudomonadati; Bacteroidota; Bacteroidia; Bacteroidales; Bacteroidaceae.